This is an RNA transcript of Asparagus officinalis (garden asparagus), 774 nucleotides long. It is a transcript of the gene named calcium-dependent protein kinase 27-like, with no coding region annotated. The record is from RefSeq and is a predicted model, not a curated record. The transcript has 2 exons. Lineage: Eukaryota; Viridiplantae; Streptophyta; Magnoliopsida; Asparagales; Asparagaceae.
UCAUCCCUAAAUUCUCCGCCUGAAACCCUAAAUUACCAAAUUCUCCGCACCAUCCCAUUCUUCUCCUCUGUUCGAAGGCUAUAACCGCCGUCCCGUCGUCCCCCUCGAUCCUGCGCCCUCCCGUCGUCCUCCUUGACAUCUUCGUCCCGUCGUCCUCCUCGACGUUUCGUCGUUGCCUCCCCCUUAGCUCCUCGACGUCCUCCUCCGACAUCGCCGUCCUGUCGUCGCCUCCCCCUAAGCCCCUCAGCUCCUCGCCGUCCCGUCGUCCUCCUUGAUGUUUCGUCGUUGUCAUCCUCCUUCGACAUUGUCGUCCUGUCAUUGCCUCGCCCCUCACUUCAUGCCCGAGCCCUCCCUCUCCUCCGACAUCACCGUCCAUCCUCGCCGAUACGAGAGGGAAGCACCGGAUCUUAGCGGAGCUCAAGAGGUUUGUACAAGAAGCUCAAUUCUUGGAGGUUAUUGCUGAGAGCUUGUCAGAAGACGAAAUUGUUGGCCUUAAGGAGAUGUUAAAGAUGAUGGAUACAGCCGAUAGUGGUCAAAUCACCUAUGAAGAACUAAAGGUUGGUUUAGAAAGAGCUGGUGCAAAUCUGAAGGAGUCUGAAAUAUCAGCUCUAAUGGAAGCUGGUGCAAAUCUGAAGGAGUCUAAUAUGUUCAUUUGAUUACCUAAAUGAAAACUUUGCCGGUUCUUACAUUUUGAGUUGGUCUGUAAAUAGGUUUCUUCUAUCAGUGAAUAAUUUGGAAUAUUUUUUGUUUGCGAUGGAUGUUGUUCUAUUAAUA